RNAcentral lists this ribosomal RNA (699 nucleotides) under uncultured Lachnospiraceae bacterium. RNAcentral describes it as "bacterial SSU rRNA". It matches the Rfam family "Bacterial small subunit ribosomal RNA", at positions 28 to 728 of the family's 1533-position model. Lineage: Bacteria; Bacillati; Bacillota; Clostridia; Lachnospirales; Lachnospiraceae. The record is from RNAcentral.
GAUGAACGCUGGCGGCGUGCUUAACACAUGCAAGUCGAACGGGAAUUACUUUAUUGAAACUUCGGUCGAUUUAAUUUAAUUCUAGUGGCGGACGGGUGAGUAACGCGUGGGUAACCUGCCUUAUACAGGGGGAUAACAGUCAGAAAUGGCUGCUAAUACCGCAUAAGCGCACAGAGCUGCAUGGCUCAGUGUGAAAAACUCCGGUGGUAUAAGAUGGACCCGCGUUGGAUUAGCUUGUUGGUGGGGUAACGGCCUACCAAGGCGACGAUCCAUAGCCGGCCUGAGAGGGUGAACGGCCACAUUGGGACUGAGACACGGCCCAGACUCCUACGGGAGGCAGCAGUGGGGAAUAUUGCACAAUGGGGGAAACCCUGAUGCAGCGACGCCGCGUGAAGGAAGAAGUAUCUCGGUAUGUAAACUUCUAUCAGCAGGGAAGAUAGUGACGGUACCUGACUAAGAAGCCCCGGCUAACUACGUGCCAGCAGCCGCGGUAAUACGUAGGGGGCAAGCGUUAUCCGGAUUUACUGGGUGUAAAGGGAGCGUAGACGGCGUGGCAAGUCUGAUGUGAAAGGCAUGGGCUCAACCUGUGGACUGCAUUGGAAACUGUCAUGCUUGAGUGCCGGAGGGGUAAGCGGAAUUCCUAGUGUAGCGGUGAAAUGCGUAGAUAUUAGGAGGAACACCAGUGGCGAAGGCGGCUUA